This 253-nucleotide ribosomal RNA is filed under the name uncultured bacterium. RNAcentral's name for it is "partial 16S ribosomal RNA". It matches the Rfam family "Bacterial small subunit ribosomal RNA", at positions 524 to 776 of the family's 1533-position model. The record is from RNAcentral.
UACGAAGGGUGCAAGCGUUACUCGGAAUUACUGGGCGUAAAGCGUGCGUAGGCGGCCUGUUGCGUCCGCUGUGAAAGCCCGGGGCUUAACCCCGGGUCUGCAGUGGAUACGGGCAGGCUAGAGGUAGGUAGGGGAGAAUGGAAUUCCCGGAUGUAGCGGUGAAUGACGCAGAUAUCAGGAGGAACACCGGUGGCGAAGGCGGUCUCUGGGCCUUACCUGAUGCUGAGGAGCGAAAGCGUGGGGAGCGAACAGG